GAGUUUGAUCCUGGCUCAGGAUGAACGCUAGCGGCAGGCUUAACACAUGCAAGUCGAGGGGUAACAUUGUGCUUGCACAGAUGACGACCGGCGCACGGGUGCGUAACGCGUAUAGAACCUACCUUUUACAGGGGAAUAGCCUUUAGAAAUGAAGAUUAAUGCCCCAUAGUAUUGAGACUUGGCAUCAAGUUUUAAUUAAAGAUUUAUCGGUAAAAGAUGGCUAUGCGUCCUAUUAGUUAGUUGGUAAGGUAACGGCUUACCAAGACAUCGAUAGGUAGGGGUCCUGAGAGGGAGAUCCCCCACACUGGUACUGAGACACGGACCAGACUCCUACGGGAGGCAGCAGUGAGGAAUAUUGGACAAUGGAGGCAACUCUGAUCCAGCCAUGCCGCGUGUAGGAAGAAUGCCCUAUGGGUUGUAAACUACUUUUAUACAGGAAGAAACACUGGUAUGUAUACCAGCUUGACGGUACUGUAAGAAUAAGGACCGGCUAACUCCGUGCCAGCAGCCGCGGUAAUACGGAUGGUCCGAGCGUUAUCC
RNAcentral lists this non-coding RNA (540 nucleotides) under Polaribacter irgensii 23-P. RNAcentral's name for it is "Bacterial small subunit ribosomal RNA". It matches the Rfam family "Bacterial small subunit ribosomal RNA", at positions 9 to 546 of the family's 1533-position model. Lineage: Bacteria; Pseudomonadati; Bacteroidota; Flavobacteriia; Flavobacteriales; Flavobacteriaceae. The record is from Rfam by way of RNAcentral.